RNAcentral lists this ribosomal RNA (264 nucleotides) under uncultured archaeon. Its description in RNAcentral is "partial 16S ribosomal RNA". It matches the Rfam family "Archaeal small subunit ribosomal RNA", at positions 714 to 982 of the family's 1478-position model. The record is from RNAcentral.
AGACGUCUACAUUAGAUACCCCCGUAGUCCCAGCCGUAAACUAUGCGCGUUAGGUGUAUCGGUGACCACGAGUCACCGAGGUGCCGAAGGGAAACCGUGAAACGUGCCGCCUGGGAAGUACGGUCGCAAGGCUGAAACUUAAAGGAAUUGGCGGGGAGCACCACAACGGGUGGGGCCUGCAGUUUAAUUGGACUCAACGCCGGGAAGCUCACCGGAUAAGACAGCGGAAUGAUUGCCGGGCUGAAGACUCUGCAUGACUAGCUG